CACAUCAAUAAGCGGAGGAAAAGAAACUAAGCCUAAGGCAUUCCCCUAGUAACUGCGAGUGAAGCGGGAAAAGCUCAAAUUUAAAAUCUGGUGGUCUUUGGCCAUCCGAGUUGUAAUCUAGAGAAGUGUUAUCCGCGCUGGACCGUGUACAAGUCCCCUGGAAUGGGGCGUCAUAGAGGGUGAGAAUCCCGUCUUUGACACGGACUACCAGGGCUUUGUGAUGCACUCUCAAAGAGUCGAGUUGUUUGGGAAUGCAGCUCAAAAUGGGUGGUAAAUUCCAUCUAAAGCUAAAUAUUGGCGAGAGACCGAUAGCGAACAAGUACCGUGAGGGAAAGAUGAAAAGAACUUUGGAAAGAGAGUUAAACAGUACGUGAAAUUGUUGAAAGGGAAACGCUUGAAGUCAUGUCGCGUCUGCCAGGGAUCAUACCUUACUUUUGUGAGGUCGUUACUUCCUGGUUGAUGGGUCAGCAUUUUCAGUUUUGGUCGUCCUGGAUAAAGGUCAGCAGAAAUGUGGCAUCCUUUCGGCGUGUGUUAUAGUCUUUGAUCAGAUACAGUGGCUGGGACUGAGGAACUCAGCGCCGCAAGGCUGUCUUAGGAUGCUGC
This 603-nucleotide ribosomal RNA is filed under the name Pleurotus ostreatus (oyster mushroom). RNAcentral's name for it is "LSU rRNA". It matches the Rfam family "Eukaryotic large subunit ribosomal RNA", at positions 39 to 634 of the family's 3401-position model. The record is from RNAcentral. Lineage: Eukaryota; Fungi; Basidiomycota; Agaricomycetes; Agaricales; Pleurotaceae.